UCUCCGUAGGUGAACCUGCGGAGGGAUCAUUACUGAGUGAGGGCUUCGGUCCGACCUCCAACCCUUUGUGAACCAAACUUGUUGCUUCGGGGGCGACCCUGCCGUUCCGGCACCGGCGCCCCCGGAGGACUUCCAACCCUGCAUCAUUGCGUCGGAGUAUUUUUUGUAAAUCUAAACAAAACUUUCAACAACGGAUCUCUUGGUUCUGGCAUCGAUGAAGAACGCAGC
RNAcentral lists this unclassified non-coding RNA (228 nucleotides) under uncultured fungus. RNAcentral's name for it is "sequence contains ITS1, 5.8S rRNA gene". The stretch from base 180 to 228 matches the Rfam family "5.8S ribosomal RNA", at positions 1 to 49 of the family's 154-position model. Lineage: Eukaryota; Fungi. The record is from RNAcentral.